CUACGGGUGGCUCCAGUGGGGAAUAUUGGGCAAUGGGCGCAAGCCUGACCCAGCGACGCCGCGUGAGGGAAGAAGGUUUUCGGAUUGUAAACCUCUGUCCUUGGGGACGAAGAAGUGACGGUACCCAAGGAGGAAGCUCCGGCUAACUACGUGCCAGCAGGCCGCGGUAAUACGUAGGGAGCAAGCGUUGUCCGGAAUUACUGGGCGUAAAGGGUGCGUAGGCGGCAUAUUAAGUCAGGUGUGAAAUACUCGGGCUCAACCCGGGGGCUGCAUUUGAAACUGAUAUGCUUGAGUGCGAGAGAGGAAAGUGGAAUUCCUAGUGUAGCGGUGGAAUGCGUAGAUAUUAGGAGGAACACCAGUGGCGAAGGCGACUUUCUGGCUCAUAACUGACGCUGAGGCACGAAAGCGUGGGGAGCAAACAGGAUUAGAUACCCUGGUAGUC
Molecule: ribosomal RNA, 442 nt
Filed under: uncultured bacterium
Lineage: Bacteria
Description: partial 16S ribosomal RNA
Rfam family: Bacterial small subunit ribosomal RNA
Source: RNAcentral